RNAcentral lists this ribosomal RNA (484 nucleotides) under Coeligena bonapartei. RNAcentral describes it as "partial 12S ribosomal RNA". It matches the Rfam family "Bacterial small subunit ribosomal RNA", at positions 779 to 1453 of the family's 1533-position model. Lineage: Eukaryota; Metazoa; Chordata; Aves; Apodiformes; Trochilidae. The record is from RNAcentral.
UAGAUACCCCACUAUGCUUAGCCCUAAAUCCUGACACUUCCUAAACUAAAGUGUCCGCCUGAGAACUACGAGCACAAACGCUUAAAACUCUAAGGACUUGGCGGUGCCUCAAACCCACCUAGAGGAGCCUGUUCUAUAAUCGAUAACCCACGCUACACCCGACCGCUCUUUGCCUCGUCAGCCUACAUACCGCCGUCGUCAGCUUACCUAUCUUGAAAGAACAGCAGUGAGCGUAAUAGCCCUAACCACGCUAAAAAGACAGGUCAAGGUAUAGCCCAUAGAGCGGAAGAAAUGGGCUACAUUUUCUAACCUAGAAAACUACGAAAGCGGGCAUGAAAUCCCCCCAGAAGGCGGAUUUAGCAGUAAAGUUGCAUCAUAGUGCCAUCUUAAAACCGGCCCCGGGGCACGUACAUACCGCCCGUCACCCUCCUCGCAAGCUACUCGCAUAAGUAAUUAACACACAGUUGAUAGCCAAAGAUGAGGU